This 253-nucleotide ribosomal RNA is filed under the name uncultured bacterium. RNAcentral's name for it is "partial 16S ribosomal RNA". It matches the Rfam family "Bacterial small subunit ribosomal RNA", at positions 524 to 776 of the family's 1533-position model. The record is from RNAcentral. RNAcentral also lists the same sequence under 1 other name.
UACGUAGGUGGCGAGCGUUGUCCGGAUUUACUGGGCGUAAAGAGCGCGCAGGCGGUCGUAUAAGUCGCGUGUGAAAGCCCCCGGCUCAACUGGGGAGGGUCACGCGAUACUGUUCGACUCGAAGGCAGGAGAGGGAAGUGGAAUUCCCGGUGUAGUGGUGAAAUGCGUAGAUAUCGGGAGGAACACCAGUGGCGAAGGCGACUUCCUGGCCUGUUCUUGACGCUGAGGCGCGAAAGCUAGGGUAGCAAACGGG